CACCUCAUGGUGCAACAGUAGCGCGCCUGACUCCAGAUCAGAGGCUGUGUGUUUGAGUCACGAUGGGGUCA
This 71-nucleotide transfer RNA is filed under the name Loxodonta africana (African savanna elephant). It matches the Rfam family "tRNA". From Rfam's summary of the family: Transfer RNA (tRNA) molecules are approximately 80 nucleotides in length. Lineage: Eukaryota; Metazoa; Chordata; Mammalia; Proboscidea; Elephantidae. The record is from Rfam by way of RNAcentral.